AAAUUGAAGAGUUUGAUCAUGGCUCAGAUUGAACGCUGGCGGCAGGCCUAACACAUGCAAGUCGAACGGUAACAGGAAGCAGCUUGCUGCUUUGCUGACGAGUGGCGGACGGGUGAGUAAUGUCUGGGAAACUGCCUGAUGGAGGGGGAUAACUACUGGAAACGGUGGCUAAUACCGCAUAACGUCGCAAGACCAAAGAGGGGGACCUUCGGGCCUCUUGCCAUCAGAUGUGCCCAGAUGGGAUUAGCUUGUUGGUGAGGUAACGGCUCACCAAGGCGACGAUCCCUAGCUGGUCUGAGAGGAUGACCAGCCACACUGGAACUGAGACACGGUCCAGACUCCUACGGGAGGCAGCAGUGGGGAAUAUUGCACAAUGGGCGCAAGCCUGAUGCAGCCAUGCCGCGUGUAUGAAGAAGGCCUUCGGGUUGUAAAGUACUUUCAGCGGGGAGGAAGGUGUUGUGGUUAAUAACCGCAGCAAUUGACGUUACCCGCAGAAGAAGCACCGGCUAACUCCGUGCCAGCAGCCGCGGUAAUACGGAGGGUGCAAGCGUUAAUCGGAAUUACUGGGCGUAAAGCGCACGCAGGCGGUCUGUCAAGUCGGAUGUGAAAUCCCCGGGCUCAACCUGGGAACUGCAUUCGAAACUGGCAGGCUUGAGUCUUGUAGAGGGGGGUAGAAUUCCAGGUGUAGCGGUGAAAUGCGUAGAGAUCUGGAGGAAUACCGGUGGCGAAGGCGGCCCCCUGGACAAAGACUGACGCUCAGGUGCGAAAGCGUGGGGAGCAAACAGGAUUAGAUACCCUGGUAGUCCACGCCGUAAACGAUGUCUACUUGGAGGUUGUGCCCUUGAGGCGUGGCUUCCGGAGCUAACGCGUUAAGUAGACCGCCUGGGGAGUACGGCCGCAAGGUUAAAACUCAAAUGAAUUGACGGGGGCCCGCACAAGCGGUGGAGCAUGUGGUUUAAUUCGAUGCAACGCGAAGAACCUUACCUGGUCUUGACAUCCACAGAACUUUCCAGAGAUGGAUUGGUGCCUUCGGGAACUGUGAGACAGGUGCUGCAUGGCUGUCGUCAGCUCGUGUUGUGAAAUGUUGGGUUAAGUCCCGCAACGAGCGCAACCCUUAUCCUUUGUUGCCAGCGGUCCGGCCGGGGACUCAAAGGAGACUGCCAGUGAUAAACUGGAGGAAGGUGGGGAUGACGUCAAGUCAUCAUGGCCCUUACGACCAGGGCUACACACGUGCUACAAUGGCGCAUACAAAGAGAAGCGACCUCGCGAGAGCAAGCGGACCUCAUAAAGUGCGUCGUAGUCCGGAUUGGAGUCUGCAACUCGACUCCAUGAAGUCGGAAUCGCUAGUAAUCGUGGAUCAGAAUGCCACGGUGAAUACGUUCCCGGGCCUUGUACACACCGCCCGUCACACCAUGGGAGUGGGUUGCAAAAGAAGUAGGUAGCUUAACCUUCGGGAGGGCGCUUACCACUUUGUGAUUCAUGACUGGGGUGAAGUCGUAACAAGGUAACCGUAGGGGAACCUGCGGUUGGAUCACCUCCUUA
Molecule: ribosomal RNA, 1542 nt
Filed under: Salmonella enterica subsp. enterica serovar Sandiego
Lineage: Bacteria; Pseudomonadati; Pseudomonadota; Gammaproteobacteria; Enterobacterales; Enterobacteriaceae
Description: bacterial SSU rRNA
Rfam family: Bacterial small subunit ribosomal RNA
Source: RNAcentral